ACUGCCCCCAGACCCCUCCAGGGCCUAAACUACCUAAAGAAACAUUAAGGCCCUUCAGGAACAUAAAGCCUUCAUUGCUUUCACUGGACUCUCAGUUUCAGAAGGCUAUGGCUGCUGGCUCCCUAUUCUACAUUUUUAGUUUUCAGGUUAUGGGCUCAGGAUCAACCGAAGAUCAACCAAAGAUAAACCCAGUAUAAACCCAGAUUAGAGGAGAAAUGCAAAGUUCAGCACAGAACAGAGCAAACCAGUCCUAGCCAGCUACAGCAAAUAAGUGCAAGUCAUAGCAACAGAAUAAAAGAAAAUGGCCAGUAACAAAGCUGAAAGAAAGAUUCCAUUUGCAAAUCUGACAAACUUCCAGAACUACCAGACUUGGGAAUUCAAGAUGAAAAGUGCUGCUAAUAAGAGAAGAGAGAAACAUACUUUGAAAUUCCCUCAAGUCUUCCAAUUAAGGAAGGAAGCAUCCUUUUGGUUACUUUACUAAAGGCAUUUAUUGAUUUCCAUGAAGGAAAUCCUACAUUUCCAAACUUAUGAGGUGCCCACAAAGCUGCAACUUGAUUUUCCAUUCCUCCAUUGCUGAAGGCUGUUCAGCAUGCAACAGCUGAUCUAUGCAGCAUAGCUGCACCACACGCCUGAUGCUCUCAGCAAUCCAAUCAUGCAAAUGCCAAUCUUAGAGAGACAAUGGUCCAGCCAGCAACAGUCCAACCAGCAACAGUCCACGCAAGGAAGUGAGUUUCAGGUACCACGAGCGAUUCUAUCUGAAGCUGCUACACAGCCUAACAAGAGAGACAAAUUGUAUGGCAAAAAGCAUUAUCAACCAGGCUCAAUAGAGCAACACUCCACAUUUGCAGAAACUCUACCAAUUCUUAGUCUAUUUCUCUAGACCACCUACCUGCUGCAAAUGUACUAAAAGUGACUACCGUUGGAACCUGCUCCACAACACAUCUGGUUUCGAUGCCAUCUUUGAAAAAUAAAUAGUUCGGUAGCA
This is a long non-coding RNA of Pantherophis guttatus, 985 nucleotides long. RefSeq lists it as uncharacterized. Lineage: Eukaryota; Metazoa; Chordata; Lepidosauria; Squamata; Colubridae. The record is from RefSeq and is a predicted model, not a curated record.